UCGAGUGAAGUUUUUUAAAACUAUGGUCUUUCAAAAAGACCACAGCAGGACCACCAACCCAAA
RNAcentral lists this transfer RNA (63 nucleotides) under Ulva fenestrata. RNAcentral describes it as "tRNA-Leu". Lineage: Eukaryota; Viridiplantae; Chlorophyta; Ulvophyceae; Ulvales; Ulvaceae. The record is from RNAcentral.